RNAcentral lists this ribosomal RNA (497 nucleotides) under uncultured bacterium. Its description in RNAcentral is "partial 16S ribosomal RNA". It matches the Rfam family "Bacterial small subunit ribosomal RNA", at positions 28 to 507 of the family's 1533-position model. The record is from RNAcentral.
GAUGAACGCUGGCGGCGUGCCUAAUACAUGCAAGUCGAGCGAACAGACGAGGAGCUUGUUCCUCUUGCGUUAGCGGCGGACGGGUGAGUAACACGUGGAUAACCUACCUAUAAGACUGGGAUAACUUCGGGAAACGAGAGCUAAUACCGCAUAAUAUAUUUAACCACAUGUUUCAAUAGUGAAAGACGCUGUUGCUUUCCCUUAUGGAUAGCUCCGGGUGUCUUAGGCUAGUGGGUAAGGUAAGGGCUUACCAAGCGAACAAUGCGUAGCGGACCUGAGAGGGUGAUCGCCCAAACGGGACCGGAGACACGGUCCAGACCCCUACGGGAGGAAGCAGUAGGGAACUUUGCGAAAUGGGCGAAAGCCUGACGGGGCAAGCCCGCGUGGUGGAUGAAGGUCUUGGGAUCGUAAACCUCUGUGAUUAGGGAAGAAGAAAUGUGUAAGUAACUAUGCACGUAUUGACGGUACCUAAUCAGAAAGCCACGGCUAACUACGUG